AACGUCGAACGAUGAAAUGCUUUUAGGUUAGAAUAUCCGUGAAAAUAUUUUACGUGCAAUAGGUAUUGUAGCUAUGCGUGUUUCUGAAUUUCAACGUUUCUGGAUGUAUCCAGAAAUUCACCGGAAUUUGAAUCCGUUGAUCUAUUCAAUGGAAUGUACAGCGAUCACCAACUUCUAGGCAGACUUGCGUAGAGGAAUUUAGGGGUCGUUUACCGUUUGCCAGCACCUCCGCCACAUAAAAGCGUUACUAUAGGCGCAGAAGUAAUCGGAGGAGUCGCGUGGUGGUGGAUUCUUUGGCAUCUAUGGCACGACUACGAACACAUUACCGGGGAAUUCGAUUA
This 341-nucleotide small RNA is filed under the name Neodiprion lecontei (redheaded pine sawfly). Its description in RNAcentral is "uncharacterized LOC107227380". Lineage: Eukaryota; Metazoa; Arthropoda; Insecta; Hymenoptera; Diprionidae. The record is from RNAcentral.